This 24-nucleotide non-coding RNA is filed under the name Xenopus tropicalis (tropical clawed frog). The record is from RNAcentral. RNAcentral also lists the same sequence under 4 other names. Lineage: Eukaryota; Metazoa; Chordata; Amphibia; Anura; Pipidae.
GGGGGAUGUAGCUCAGUGGUAGAG